Molecule: long non-coding RNA, 1454 nt
Organism: Drosophila willistoni
Lineage: Eukaryota; Metazoa; Arthropoda; Insecta; Diptera; Drosophilidae
Exons: 3
Source: RefSeq, a predicted model, not a curated record
CUCCUCUAUCUGUCUUUGUCCGUUAUUCUGCACAUCUAUGGCAAGUUAGGAGCUUUUCCAAGUUGGUUUGCUCUGUUUAAUGAACUGUACAUGUAGAAAUUAUAUUUUGCCAAACAAGCAAGCGAACAGAGAUACAUCUACACGUUCACAUUCACAUAUCUCUGAAUACACACACAGUCAAACACACAUGUACCUAAUAGGUACUACCUAUACAUAUUUUAAUUUUUGCUUGAAUGCAUUACCAAUGUGUGGUGUCUUUAGUGUAUUUCGAUUGGUUCAUUUAACCCAGCCGCGCUACAAUUGAUUUGGAUUUUAGUAUAUCGGUUUUAUUAUUGAAAUUGAUGAGUCCUGCCAUUUGGUUGCGCUGGAGAGCAGAAAGAGAAGGAUGAGAAUGGUAAGAAGAGCAAAAAAAAAGGAGAGGAUGCGAAACCAAACUGCCUCAACUUGAUAUGCUAUUAGCUGCCUUGCUCUUACCUCAGGUCUUCGUUUGCAUUCGCCACGAAGAUGAAAUAACACCACUUCCGUUCAGGCACUAAUGCGCAUUGAUUUUCACAUUUCCACUGGCGUCAUUUUCCAUUGUUAUACUACACUUUCCUACCUAUUGUUGUUGUUGUUGUUGUUCUUGUUAUUUAGCAAACAUUUUGCCGUUCAUCUAAUAGCUACGGAUGUGGUUAAAAGCAUUUGCCCGAACCUUCCCUUUUUCAUAGACCAUUAAAUUUGCAUUUGCUGCUGACUGGCGCGAUUGGCAGACAGGCAAGUAAGCAGCCAUUUAAAUGUGCAGACGCUGCCCGUGAAAUACGAAACCAAGAACAAGAAUGUUAAGUUCAAUGAUGAAGAACUGAAGAAGACAAGCGUUUCCCAACUAAAUAUUUAAGUAGGCAACGUGUUUCUACUAAACAGCAAACUGAUCACAUUCUAUUUCAUUCCAAAUUUGAAGUCUGAGCGAACGGAGCAAAAAAAAAAAAACAUGUCGAAACAAAUUCCUUCUUUUUUUACCACUAAAACAAAAGAAAAUCGCACAUCCAGCCAAAGGGAAUCGCAACAUGAGAUAAGUAGUUGCACGACUUUAUCUACUUCACUAUCAAUUGACGAAGAACAAAAUCUAAGGCGCAAAGUGGAGAAAAUUGUUAGAGAAAUGCCUAAAUCUGAUUCGCAUGACAUGGACGUUGAUGGCAUUAUGACUUUGAUUAUGCCAAAAGUUUUAAAUGAGCUGAAGCACUAUGACAAACUAAAUUGGAAAAUCAAUAGAAUUUUAAGAAAAUUAAAAUCCCAAAUGGAUCAUACGACUGUCAUUGAUCAAGAUAUAGCUGUUAUAUAUUACGAUUUAUACAAAAUCUUUAACAAACUGGAGAAAAUACAAGGUAUAAAAAAAAUAUACCAGAGCCGGUUGCAGAAACUCAAAAACCAGCAAAAAUGUCUCAAGAAACGAAGGUGAAACAAAUUGCUUGCCCAUU